GUGCUCGCUUCAGCAGCACGUGUACUAAAACUAGACCGAUACAGAGAAGGUUAGCAUGGCCCCUGUGCAAGGGUGACAUGCAAAUUCAUGAAGCGUUCCUUAUUUAA
Small nuclear RNA from Acomys russatus (golden spiny mouse), 107 nucleotides. The record is from RefSeq and is a predicted model, not a curated record. Lineage: Eukaryota; Metazoa; Chordata; Mammalia; Rodentia; Muridae.